GAUGAACGCUGGCGGCGUGCCUAAUACAUGCAAGUCGAACGCACAGCGAAAGGUGCUUGCACCUCUCAAGUGAGUGGCGAACGGGUGAGUAACACGUGGACAACCUGCCUCAAGGCUGGGGAUAACAUUUGGAAACAGAUGCUAAUACCGAAUAAAACUCAGUGUCGCAUGACACAAAGUUAAAAGGCGCUUUGGCGCCACCUAGAGAUGGAUCCGCGGUGCAUUAGUUAGUUGGUGGGGUAAAGGCCUACCAAGACAAUGAUGCAUAGCCGAGUUGAGAGACUGAUCGGCCACAUUGGGACUGAGAAACGGCCCAAACUCCUACGGGAGGCUGCAGUAGGGAAUCUUCCACAAUGGGCGAAAGCCUGACGGAGCAACGCCGCGUGUGUGAUGAAGGCUUUCGGGUCGUAAAGCACUGUUGUAUGGGAAGAACAGCUAGAAUAGGGAAUGAUUUUAGUUUGACGGUACCAUACCAGAAAGGGACGGCUAAAUACGUGCCAGCAGCCGCGGUAA
Molecule: ribosomal RNA, 513 nt
Filed under: uncultured bacterium
Lineage: Bacteria
Description: partial 16S ribosomal RNA
Rfam family: Bacterial small subunit ribosomal RNA
Source: RNAcentral